Molecule: ribosomal RNA, 587 nt
Filed under: uncultured fungus
Lineage: Eukaryota; Fungi
Description: eukaryotic LSU rRNA
Rfam family: 5.8S ribosomal RNA (bases 211-364)
Source: RNAcentral
AGUCGUAACAAGGUCUCCGUAGGUGAACCUGCGGAGGGAUCAUUACACAAAUAUGAAGGCGGGCUGGAACCUCUCGGGGUUACAGCCUUGCUGAAUUAUUCACCCUUGUCUUUUGCGUACUUCUUGUUUCCUUGGUGGGUUCGCCCACCACUAGGACAAACAUAAACCUUUUGUAAUUGCAAUCAGCGUCAGUAACAAAUUAAUAAUUACAACUUUCAACAACGGAUCUCUUGGUUCUGGCAUCGAUGAAGAACGCAGCGAAAUGCGAUAAGUAGUGUGAAUUGCAGAAUUCAGUGAAUCAUCGAAUCUUUGAACGCACAUUGCGCCCUUUGGUAUUCCAAAGGGCAUGCCUGUUCGAGCGUCAUUUGUACCCUCAAGCUUUGCUUGGUGUUGGGCGUCUUGUCUCUAGCUUUGCUGGAGACUCGCCUUAAAGUAAUUGGCAGCCGGCCUACUGGUUUCGGAGCGCAGCACAAGUCGCACUCUCUAUCAGCAAAGGUCUAGCAUCCAUUAAGCCUUUUUUUUCAACUUUUGACCUCGGAUCAGGUAGGGAUACCCGCUGAACUUAAGCAUAUCAAUAGUAAAAGUCG